RNAcentral lists this transfer RNA (70 nucleotides) under Paramesotriton chinensis (Chinese warty newt). RNAcentral's name for it is "tRNA-Thr". It matches the Rfam family "tRNA". Rfam says of the family: Transfer RNA (tRNA) molecules are approximately 80 nucleotides in length. Their secondary structure includes four short double-helical elements and three loops (D, anti-codon, and T loops). Lineage: Eukaryota; Metazoa; Chordata; Amphibia; Caudata; Salamandridae. The record is from RNAcentral.
UACCUAGAUAGUUUAAACAAAACAUCGGUCUUGUAAGCCGAAACCGAAGCCUAGCCCCUUCUCAAGGUAC